CCACCUGGAAAACAACGGGAAAGUAGUUCAAGUUUCCAGUAAAAACAAUUAAGUAUUGGAAAUCAAGCGCUCACCUGGAGAAAAAAGGGAAGUAGUUUUAGUUUCGAGGAAAAACAAUUCAAGUGUUGGAAAUCAGACACCCACCUAGAUAACAAAGGGACACAGUUCGAGUUUCGAGGAUAAAAUAGUUCAAGUGUUGGAAAUCAAGCGCCCACAUGGAGAAUAAAGGGAAGUAGUCCGAGUUUCGAG
Molecule: long non-coding RNA, 249 nt
Filed under: Nicotiana benthamiana
Lineage: Eukaryota; Viridiplantae; Streptophyta; Magnoliopsida; Solanales; Solanaceae
Description: long non-coding RNA (NBEN_LNC027129)
Source: RNAcentral